GUGUCAGCAGCCGCGGUAAGACGAACCGAGCGAACGUUGUUCGGAAUCACUGGGCUUAAAGGGCGCGUAGGCGGGCGAUCAAGUCGGUGGUGAAAUCCUACAGCUUAACUGUAGAACUGCCUCCGAUACUGGUUGUCUCGAGGAAGGUAGGGGCGUGCGGAACAGUUGGUGGAGCGGUGAAAUGCGUUGAUAUCAACUGGAACUCCGGUGGCGAAGGCGGCACGCUGGACCUUUUCUGACGCUGAGGCGCGAAAGCCAGGGGAGCAAACGGGAUUAGAAACCCGUGUAGUCC
This 292-nucleotide ribosomal RNA is filed under the name uncultured bacterium. RNAcentral describes it as "partial 16S ribosomal RNA". It matches the Rfam family "Bacterial small subunit ribosomal RNA", at positions 505 to 796 of the family's 1533-position model. The record is from RNAcentral.